GGGCCAGACUCCUACGGGAGGCAGCAGUGAGGAAUAUUGGUCAAUGGCCGGAAGGCUGAACCAGCCAAGCCGCGUGAAGGACGAAGGUGCCAAGCAUUGUAAACUUCUUUUGUCAAGGGACAAAAUCAGGCUCGAGAGCCUGACCGAGGGUACUUGAAGAAAAGGCAUCGGCUAACUCCGUGCCAGCAGCCGCGGUAAUACGUAGGUGGCAAGCGUUAUCCGGAUUUAUUGGGUGUAAAGGGCGUGUAGGCGGGAGCGCAAGUCAGAUGUGAAAACUCAGGGCUCAACCCUGAGCCUGCAUUUGAAACUGUGUUUCUUGAGUGCUGGAGAGGCAAUCGGAAUUCCGUGUGUAGCGGUGAAAUGCGUAGAUAUACGGAGGAACACCAGUGGCGAAGGCGGAUUGCUGGACAGUAACUGACGCUGAGGCGCGAAAGCGUGGGGAGCAAACAGGAUUAGAUACCCUAGUA
This 467-nucleotide ribosomal RNA is filed under the name uncultured bacterium. RNAcentral's name for it is "bacterial SSU rRNA". It matches the Rfam family "Bacterial small subunit ribosomal RNA", at positions 328 to 792 of the family's 1533-position model. The record is from RNAcentral.